GGGGAUAUAGCUCAGUUGGUAGAGUGCUUGUCUAGCAUGCAUAAGGCCCUGGGUUCAGUUCUCAGUACCACCA
Molecule: transfer RNA, 73 nt
Filed under: Ictidomys tridecemlineatus (thirteen-lined ground squirrel)
Lineage: Eukaryota; Metazoa; Chordata; Mammalia; Rodentia; Sciuridae
Description: Spermophilus tridecemlineatus (thirteen-lined ground squirrel) tRNA
Rfam family: tRNA
About the family: Transfer RNA (tRNA) molecules are approximately 80 nucleotides in length.
Source: Rfam by way of RNAcentral